AGAGGAACCCCAUCAAACUUGGAUUUUGUAAGUAGUUGCGAAUGAACACAAAUUUGAUCACUUUGGCAAUCUGUACACAUUGCUGUGUAACAAUUUGUAUACGUUGGCACAGUGCUAUCAAAGCUGCAUGCAAGUGUUUUUUGAAAGGAUACAACAUGGGAUGUGAUAUUCAUGUGUGUGUGCCUGCUUUGUCCACAGCCUGUGCUGUAUGAAUCACAUUUCUUGCAACUGAAAUGCUAAUGGCAUGGUAAAGUUCAUGUGACAUGACACAAGCUUGAGAUUCAUGAUGUGCAAGUACCAUGAGGGAAAUGUGAAAAGGACUUUGGAAAGAGAAUUAAAUAAAGCCUGCAUUUGCUGACAAUGAAAGCAAGUGUGGAUGUUCAUGUAAUUGUUACUGCAUCAAUCAAUGUUCAUCUUGGUUACUGCAUGCUUUAUAUUACAGCUCAGAACAUGAAGUGUGUGUAACAGCUCUGCUUUGAUUUUUCCCACAUGGGAUCAGUUGAAACAUUGUGAGAGCACUCUUCAGUUUCCUUAUGUACCCACCAGCUUUGUCCACUCGCGUGUUGGCACACAUGUAAUGAUGAUGUGUUUAUGCAAGAUACUUCUGUGCUCAACAACAUGUUGUGUCAAUCCUCACUUGACCC
This 644-nucleotide ribosomal RNA is filed under the name Ostreopsis ovata. Its description in RNAcentral is "eukaryotic LSU rRNA". It matches the Rfam family "Eukaryotic large subunit ribosomal RNA", at positions 52 to 650 of the family's 3401-position model. The record is from RNAcentral. Lineage: Eukaryota; Dinophyceae; Peridiniales; Ostreopsidaceae.